AAACAAUGUCAGUUUCAUAUGGACUAUUCCAAAUAAUAGAAAAAAGAGACAAUAUUCCAUAACUUACAUAAAAGGCUAGCAACAUCUUCACGCUAAAACUUGACAAGAACAGUAUGAAGGGAAAAAAAUCGCAUUUAAUAAUCACAUUAAUUACAUAUUUAAUAUAUUUAAUAAUAUCAGUGUAAAAAUCCUAAACCAAAUAUAAGCAACUUGAAUCUAGGAAUAUACAAAAAGUCUGAUAAAUCAUGAACAAAUUGUGUAAAGUUGAUAAAAGUGAACUUUUCCAAGACUGAUCUCCACAGGGUGUUCUCCCUAAGAGGAAGAAACUGCCUCUAGUAAAACUGACCUUCUGAGUGGUUCCAUGGAGAGCUGUGUGGUCCCGGUGCUCAGACCGAACAGGUAAGCCUCAAGACCUGUACCCCAGCCACUCCAUCCCCAUCAUGCCAGGGAUAAGUUCCUUCUCCAACCACGAAAGCUGAUGUGGUGACUUCUGCCUUUGGCUUUGCAUGUGAUAAAGCUACCAUGAAAAGCUUAGACCCCAUUCUCAGACCAUAAAAGGAGAAGACCUGGCAUCCCCUUCAGUAAGCCAUAACUGAAUGCGUAGCUUAACUGAUGGAGUAGGGCUGGGGCAAAGCCUCUGCCACAACAUAUCACAGUUGCAUACUAAGCCAUAGUGACACCAAAGAGGGGCUAUAGUCAUGCAGUGGAGAAGCUCACAGACCAAUGCUUAAGGUCUCUUAUCUGAUCCUGUCUGAUUGUUGUUCAUGGAUAUGCAGUGUGACAGGUAUCACCUGCCUCAGUUCCCGUCUCUUGGAGGACAACAUCAAGGACGAUGGUCUAGUGAAUGGCCUUAGAUCUGACCCAUUCUCAGAUGCCAAUAUUUUACCUCUUGGGUACUUUCUGUGUAGAAGAUUCAUAACAAGAACAAUGUUUAUUCUGCAAUUCUUUAUAUAAAGCUAAAAAUAAAUUUUGAAAUGAUCUGAAUAUUUUUCUUUAAAGUAUCUUUAAUCAAAAGGCUCUAUUUUUUAAAAUGGUAUAGAAUUUAAUUCAACUGGUCAUGUGUUAACUAAUUUCCAACAAUAAGUUCCUGAAAGUAAAACAUGUAAAAUAAUGAAUUAUAGAUGUUUCUUUGAAGGAACUGUCAGUCUAGUUAAGGACAAAAAAUUUCCCUUUAUGAAACACUAGAUCGUCCCAGCACUUUGGGAGGCCGAGGCAGGAGGAUCACUUGAGCCCAGGAGUUUGAGACAGGUCUGGGCAACAUGGUGAAGCCCCAUGUCUACCAAAACUACAAAAAUUAGCUGGACCUGGCGUCAUGCACUUGUAGUCCUAGCUACUGGGGAGACUGAAGUGGGAGGACUGAUUGAGCCCACAAGGUGGAGGCUGCGGUGAGCUGUGAUCACACCACCGCACUCUAGCCUGGGUGACAGAGCAAGACUCUGUCUCAGAAAAAAAAAAAAAAAAAAAAAAAAAUCUAGAAAGCAGCACAAUGUGUCCAAGUAAUCAGGUACAGACAGGGUACCAAAGAUUAUUAAUGAGAACAGUGCAGGUAGUACAGGCUCAGAAAAAGAAGGGGCUGCCAUAAGAACCAUCAGCAGGAAUGGCACCUAGCAGCGAGAGAGAGGGAGCUGACCUUUGAGGAAUGGGCAAAAUGUAGAUAAAAAGCUGAGUAGUGGGAAAUCAUUCUGAUCCAGGAGAACAACAACUUCUGACUCCUGCAGCUCUCUAGUCAGUGUAGUUAGCUUACUCAAAGCAGAGUGUGCUAGAGCACAGGUAGCUGUCCAUCCUUACCUAUUAAUCCGUGCCAAUUCUCCUUGUAAAAAUUCAAGGUGGAUUUGCCUGGAGAAGUGGAAGGAAGUAAUGAGGGUCUACUGAAGCCAGGAUUUAUAUAUCUUGUGAUCCAGAUAAUAAAAUUUGGUUGCUCAAGCCUCUGGCCAUUGACCAGAGAAAGGCCUCCUCUUGAAAGCUCAGCUUGACCAUGAAGCCUUUAUGACAGCAUAGAAUGUGGGGAGAAUGCUUUUCCCCUCUCAAGAUGGCCCUUGCUUUAUAAAUGUUUUAAGAAGUGACAGAAUAAUACAGUUCUCCCAUUCUUGCAAAAUAAACUUUUAUUUGGAGGUACAGAAUAAUUUAGGGUUCAGGCUGUCGCACGCUUUUGAUAUCUGCAAACAUAUUUGUGUAUAUUGACUCAUUCCAUACAGCCCCAUUCCAGUCCUUGGUACAGUAUGGUUUGCCAUGCACACACUAGUUACAUGAACACACAGAAAUUGACUAGCUGAUAAAGAAUUUGAACACGUGGAGGCAGAGAGUAGAAAAAUGGAUAACAAAGACUGGGAAAAGUGAGAGAAGUAGGUUAAAAGAUGCAGACAUACAAUAAGAUAGAAUGCGUAAAUUCAGUGUUUGAUAGCAGAGUAGGAUGACUAUACUUAACAAAAUGUAUUGUACUUAAGCAACAGACACCUUGAUUACCCUGGCUUGAUCACUAUGUAUUAUAUACACAUAGCAAAAUUUAUCAUGUGCUCUAUACAUUUGCACAAAUUAAAAAGAGAAAGGAACUGGACAGCUGAUUAAUGAG
Macaca mulatta (Rhesus monkey) is the source of this 2569-nucleotide long non-coding RNA. NCBI's taxonomy places the organism in Eukaryota, Metazoa, Chordata, Mammalia, Primates, Cercopithecidae. The record is from Ensembl.